CCUACGGGGGGCAGCAGUGGGGAAUAUUGGGCAAUGGGCGCAAGCCUGACCCAGCAACGCCGCGUGAAGGAAGAAGGCUUUCGGGUUGUACACUUCUUUUAAGAGGUAAGCGCAGAAGACGGUACCUCUUGAAUAAGCCACGGCUAACUACGUGCCAGCAGCCGCGGUAAUACGUAGGUGGCAAGCGUUGUCCGGAUUUACUGGGUGUAAAGGGCGUGUAGCCGGGCUGACAAGUCAUAUGUGAAAUCCCGUGGCUCAACCACGGAACUGCAUUUGAAACUGUCGGUCUUGAGUAUCGGAGAGGCAGGCGGAAUGCCUAGUGUAGCGGUGAAAUGCGUAGAUAUUAGGAGGAGCACCAGUGGCGAAGGCGGCCUGCUGGACGACAACUGACGGUGAGGCGCGAAAGCGUGGGGAGCAAACAGGAGUAGAUACCCGAGUAGUC
This 442-nucleotide ribosomal RNA is filed under the name uncultured bacterium. RNAcentral describes it as "partial 16S ribosomal RNA". It matches the Rfam family "Bacterial small subunit ribosomal RNA", at positions 338 to 795 of the family's 1533-position model. The record is from RNAcentral.